Pelobates cultripes (western spadefoot toad) is the source of this 245-nucleotide non-coding RNA. NCBI's taxonomy places the organism in Eukaryota, Metazoa, Chordata, Amphibia, Anura, Pelobatidae. The record is from the annotation of a GenBank genome assembly.
UUUGUUUUUUGUAUACUGGUGACAGAUGCAUUAUCUUGAGGGUGAUUGACCUCCUAACGUAAUAAAAAACAGUGUUUUUAACUAGGAAAGGUACAUUCACCUAUUCUCUGGUUUUCAAGUACAUCGACGGGAUGUUACUAUUACCCAGUUUAAAGGUACUUAUAUCGACUUUCUAUGUGAAAGAGUACUUCAUUACACUGUAGAUACAGAAUCUACAAUAGUCUCCUGAUUCAGUGAAAUCUCAC